Molecule: ribosomal RNA, 1069 nt
Filed under: Pythium sp. CAL-2011f
Lineage: Eukaryota; Oomycota; Peronosporomycetes; Pythiales; Pythiaceae
Description: eukaryotic LSU rRNA
Rfam family: 5.8S ribosomal RNA (bases 386-540)
Source: RNAcentral
CCACACCUAAACAAAACUCUCCACGUGAACUGUUGUACCCGUUUGGCGCUGCCGUGUGUUAUGUGUUAUGUGWYRURUGWCRUAUGUCAUAUGUCAUGUGACUCGCUGGCAGCUGAACGAAGAAGGUCGUAUGUUGUUGUUGUUGUUGUUGUUGUAGUAGUAGUAGUAGUAGUAGUAGUAGUAGCUGCUGUUGUGUCUGCUCUGCUGYGUASUWCRGYACGWGGCGAGCRGSUGCUGYGACUGSUUCUACUGCUGCUGCUGCUGCGGCUACGRCUACGRCGGCGGCGGCGGCUGCUGCGGCUGACUUGUGUAUGUUUUCAACCCCGUACUGUAAACUACUGAUGUAUACUGUGAGAACGAAAGUUCUUGCUUUGAACUAGAUAACAACUUUCAGCAGUGGAUGUCUAGGCUCGCACAUCGAUGAAGAACGCUGCGAACUGCGAUACGUAAUGCGAAUUGCAGAAUUCAGUGAGUCAUCGAAAUUUUGAACGCAUAUUGCACUUUCGGGUUUUGCCUGGAAGUAUGUCUGUAUCAGUGUCCGUAAAUCAAACUUGCGUUUCUUUUUUUCUGUGUAGUCAGGGAGAGAGAGAGUAGCAGAUGUGAAGUGUCUCGUUUUGUUAUUGUUGUGUGUGUUUUUUGAAUCUCUCGAAAAGCUUGCACAAUAAACGAGUCCUUUGAAACGGACCCGAUCUUUCUUAUGUUUCUGCGACGUGUGGCGCUCUUGACGCGGCUGCGAUUUUCGGAUCGGUGGCAGUUGUCGGCGACUUCGGCGAAGACAUUAUGGAGGAAACCUCGAUUCGCGGUAUGUUAGGCUUCGGCCGGACAAUGUUGCUUAUUGUGUGUGGAAUCUGUCUUGGCCUUGAGGUGUACUGGCGGUUGUGUGCUUGUUCUGUUGGUUGUAUGCUUUUGUUGUUGGAGCGCUGCUGCUUUGUGUAUGUCGCGGUUGCGUCCGUGUCAGUUGUUGCUGAUGGCGGUAUGGAGAGGUUGUAUUUGGGAGAUGUUGUACUUUGUUGCCAUUCGUGUCAAUGUUGUAUCUCAAUUGGACCUGAUAUCAGACAAGAKACCCGCU